AAAAGUAGGUGACAUACUUUUGCAGCACCCUUUUCUUCUUUUUGACUCUGGCUGAGUGGACCAUGGAACCGUUGCAAAUACUAAUCAAUCUGGUGCCGAAGAUACAGGCUGUUCAACUACUCUGCCUCCACCAGUAAUCAAAACGAGCUUUCGAACUCUCUUCUUCACAGCUACAAUCUCGGUUCAUAAGCAUAAAUAUACUCAAAGCCCCCCUGCAUAUAUGGUCCUUUGAAAGAGCAGUAUAAUAUGGCACAGAGAAAAGAGAACAUUGUUCUUUUCCCUUUCAUGAUGCAAGGCCAUAUCAUCCCUUUCCUGGCUUUAGCCCUCCACAUAGAACAAAGAACGGACUACUCCAUUACCUUUGUCAACACCCCUCUUAACAUCAAGAAGCUCAGGUACUCUCUCCCUCCUGAAUCCUCCAUUAACCUUGUUGAGAUCCCCUUCUCCAGCUCCGACCAUGGUCUCCCACCCAAUACCGAGAACACCGACGCCCUUCCCUACCACCUCGUCAUCCGCCUCCUAGAAGCUUCUGUCUCUCUCGAACCAGCUUUCAAGAAACUCAUCCAGAAUCUCAUCGAAGAGCAACAAGGCCGUCCCCCGCUUUGCAUUAUCGUCGAUAUUUUCUUUGGAUGGGCUGCAAACGUUGCCAGAGAGCUAAACGUGUUCCAGGCAAUCUUCAGCGGCGCAAGUGGGUGCGGCUUGGCCUACUACUAUUCCCUUUGGAUGAACCUUCCUCACAGGAAGGUCGAUUCCGAUGAGUUUUCGUUGCCUGAUUUUCCAGAAGCUUCAAGAGUUCAUAUUACACAGUUGCCAACAAAUAUACUUGAAGCUGAUGGUGGAGAUGCUUGGUCAGUCUUUCAGAAGAAGAAUCUUUCUGGGUGGAUGAAAUCUGAUGGGAUAUUGUUCAACACUGUGGAGCAAUUUGACCAUAUUGGAUUGUCGUACUUUAGGGACAAACUGGGCCGGCCUGCCUGGUCGAUUGGACCGGUCCUGUUAUCUGCGGAAAACCGAUCACCUUUUGGGAAGGAAGGUGGCAUUAGUCCGGAGCUUUGUAUCGAAUGGCUGAGUACAAAACCUCUGAAUUCUGUUUUGUACGUGUCUUUUGGGUCGAUGAAUACGAUCUCUGCAAAACAGAUGAUGCAGUUGGCUACGGGGUUGGAGGCUAGUGGCAAGAAUUUCAUCUGGGUUGUUAGGCCACCGGUUGGGUUUGACAUAAACUCGGAUUUCAAUGCCAAAGAAUGGUUACCAGAAGGAUUCGAAGAGAGGACCAAGAAUUCAGGAAGGGGAUUACUGGUGCAGAAAUGGGCACCCCAGGAGGAAAUUUUGAGCCACAAGUCUGUUUGUGCAUUUUUGACCCAUUGUGGGUGGAAUUCAGUGCUCGAAGCUCUUAGUCACGGCGUGCCAAUGAUUGGAUGGCCGAUGGCAGCGGAGCAGUUUUUCAACGUCAAGUUGCUGCAGGAACAAGUUGGAGUUUGUGUGGAGUUAGCUAGGGGGAAGAGCUGUGAGGUUAGACAUGAAGAUAUAGUUUCAAAAGUUCAGUUGGUGAUGAACGAGACACAGGAAGGGAAUGAAAUGAGAAGGAAAGCUUCUCAAGUGAUGAAGACCAUAAGGAAUGCCAUGAAAGAUGAGGAAGGUUUCAGGGGGUCUUCCAUCAAAGCAAUGGACAACUUUUUCAGUGCUGCAGAGUCCAAGAGGCAGCAGACUCAGAUAGAAAAUAAUGUUGCCGCUUGCUUCAAGCAGCACUAGUGCUAUAUAUCGCCAUAUUUAGCUAAUUGCAGUUUGACUACGUUUGAGCAAUGCUGUGAUACUAGACAUCAGGGAGAAUUAGGAGGACCUAGCUACUUCGACAUCUACUGCUAGAGGCAAACCAGAUUAAAGCAUGGGAUAGAAAAACAGAGCAUCCUCCAAAGACAGGGCAUGCCUCUUGGCUACAAGUUCCGAAGACAGAGACUCAAGGGGCAAAGACCACCUGUUGGGUGCUGCGAGAGCUGAAAAAUCUCUCUUCACUUGAGCUUGGUGAGAUGCAAAUAACUUAUUCACAACCAGCUAUAACAAGACAAUACAAGUUUUGUAGUACAUAACAUUUUCCAUGAAAGUGAUAAUUUUUUUUUUUUUAUAAGAAAUG
Molecule: RNA transcript, 2125 nt
Organism: Juglans microcarpa x Juglans regia
Lineage: Eukaryota; Viridiplantae; Streptophyta; Magnoliopsida; Fagales; Juglandaceae
Gene name: UDP-glycosyltransferase 92A1-like
Exons: 3
Source: RefSeq, a predicted model, not a curated record